ACGCUCGACACCUACGUGAGGCAGCAGUGGGGAAUAUUGCACAAUGGGGGAAACCCUGAUGCAGCGACGCCGCGUGAGCGAAGAAGUAUUUCGGUAUGUAAAGCUCUAUCAGCAGGGAAGAAAAUGACGGUACCUGACUAAGAAGCACCGGCUAAAUACGCGCCAGCAGCCGCGGUAAUCUGAGCGGGCUGGCAAGGC
This 198-nucleotide ribosomal RNA is filed under the name uncultured bacterium. RNAcentral's name for it is "partial 16S ribosomal RNA". It matches the Rfam family "Bacterial small subunit ribosomal RNA", at positions 328 to 539 of the family's 1533-position model. The record is from RNAcentral.